This 101-nucleotide non-coding RNA is filed under the name Platyophrya macrostoma. The record is from RNAcentral. Lineage: Eukaryota; Ciliophora; Colpodea; Cyrtolophosidida; Platyophryidae.
GAAAAAGGGAAACAAAAAAGAAAGGGGACGGGGAUCACUUCUGUUGUAGAUUUGCUCUGAAACUCUUUUUUUUUUUUUCUUCACGCAUCAUUUAUUCUCUC